AGAGCGAACGCUGGCGGCAGGCCUAACACAUGCAAGUCGAACGGACUCUUCGGAGUUAGUGGCGGACGGGUGAGUAACACGUGGGAACGUGCCUUUAGGUUCGGAAUAGCUCCUGGAAACGGGUGGUAAUACCGAAUGUGCCCUUCGGGGGAAAGAUUUAUCGCCUUUAGAGCGGCCCGCGUCUGAUUAGCUUGUUGGUGUGGUAAUGGCUCACCAAGGCUACGAUCAGUAGCUGGUCUGAGAGGAUGACCAGCCACAUUGGGACUGAGACACGGCCCAAACUCCUACGGGAGGCAGCAGUGGGGAAUCUUGCGCAAUGGGCGAAAGCCUGACGCAGCCAUGCCGCGUGUAUGAUGAAGGUCUUAGGAUUGUAAAAUACUUUCACCGGUGAAGAUAAUGACUGUAGCCGGAGAAGAAGCCCCGGCUAACUUCGCGCCAGCAGCCGC
Molecule: ribosomal RNA, 446 nt
Filed under: uncultured soil bacterium
Lineage: Bacteria
Description: bacterial SSU rRNA
Rfam family: Bacterial small subunit ribosomal RNA
Source: RNAcentral